UGAAAAAGUUAUAGGGGCUAUGAGACUGGCUUGAAACCAGUUUUAGGGGGUUCGACUCCCUCCUUUUUCAACU
This 73-nucleotide transfer RNA is filed under the name Macaca mulatta vestita. RNAcentral describes it as "tRNA-Ser". It matches the Rfam family "tRNA". Rfam says of the family: Transfer RNA (tRNA) molecules are approximately 80 nucleotides in length. The record is from RNAcentral. Lineage: Eukaryota; Metazoa; Chordata; Mammalia; Primates; Cercopithecidae.